CAUUCAUGUCUCCCGACAACACUAACCCACCAGGUAACCCUCACCUCCAGAGGAGAAGGGACUGGGCCGGGGCCACGGAAGGGCCACUCUCCCGACCCCGAGGGCUGCCCCUGGGUCACAAGACACCCACUGGUUUUACCCUUAAGGGGGCUGGGUUCUCCGACCUCUCCUGCACAUACCAGGACAAUUACUGCGGGACAGUCGCAGUCAGGAAGGCUUUGGGUGUGUGAGACCCCCUACUAGUGGCUUCUAGCCACCGCGGACCCCGCUCUUCUGACCUCUCAGGCGCAGUGAAGCUCUUGAUCAAGAACAGAGUUCCAGGAUGGGAUGGAAAUCUUAACAGCUCUUCUCCAGACACAUGUGCCAGAGGCUCAUCCCCCACAGUCACUUCCAAGGAUUAGAUCCAGGCAAGGAGAAGGAAACUGGAGUCCUUGGAGGGGCAAAGGGCCAUCACGACUUCAUCUCGUCUCUGCCUAUUACCAAUAGGGGACUUUUGGAAGUCAUUUUCUCUCCCUAGGGCCUCAGUUUCCCUGUCUGUGAAGCAGAAGAAGGCUCUGCUAUCUCCAAAUUUGCUCUGGGGAUCAGAUGAGACAAUGUGUAUAAAUGUGCUUUGUAAACUGUGGCACCCCGGACAAUGGCAGAGGGGGGAGGCAGUGGGUACAAAGGAGAUUUGAAGGCCAGGUCAUGCCCCUUAAGCCCUAGGGGGCCCCAAUGUGGGGUGCUUGAUGGGAGGGGGAAGGGGAGAAGGGAUGGUGCUGCAGCCCAUCCUCCUCUACCCUAGGC
Long non-coding RNA from Bubalus bubalis (water buffalo), 783 nucleotides. RefSeq lists it as uncharacterized. NCBI's taxonomy places the organism in Eukaryota, Metazoa, Chordata, Mammalia, Artiodactyla, Bovidae. The record is from RefSeq and is a predicted model, not a curated record. The transcript is spliced from 2 exons.